Molecule: long non-coding RNA, 254 nt
Filed under: Gossypium barbadense (sea-island cotton)
Lineage: Eukaryota; Viridiplantae; Streptophyta; Magnoliopsida; Malvales; Malvaceae
Description: long non-coding RNA (GBAR_LNC005485)
Source: RNAcentral
GCAAAAUAGGGCAUACAUACUGACUUGACCACAUGGCCACAUGACAUGCUCGUGUGCCAGGCCAUGUGAAAAUUAGGGAGGCUACUGACUUGGGUCAAACGGCCAACCACACGCCCAUGUACCAACCCGUGUGCCACACAUGACCAAUAAACACACCCAUGUGUUUAGGCCGUGUCAAAACUAUAAGGUAUACUGACUUAAAAUCGUAGGGCACCCAAGGGGACACACGGCCGUGUCACAUAACCGUGUGUCAC